RNAcentral lists this ribosomal RNA (603 nucleotides) under Escherichia coli. RNAcentral's name for it is "partial 23S ribosomal RNA". It matches the Rfam family "Bacterial large subunit ribosomal RNA", at positions 1 to 634 of the family's 2925-position model. Lineage: Bacteria; Pseudomonadati; Pseudomonadota; Gammaproteobacteria; Enterobacterales; Enterobacteriaceae. The record is from RNAcentral.
GGGUUGUGAGGUUAAGCGACUAAGCGUACACGGUGGAUGCCCUGGCAGUCAGAGGCGAUGAAGGACGUGCUAAUCUGCGAUAAGCGUCGGUAAGGUGAUAUGAACCGUUAUAACCGGCGAUUUCCGAAUGGGGAAACCCAGUGUGAUUCGUCACACUAUCAUUAACUGAAUCCAUAGGUUAAUGAGGCGAACCGGGGGAACUGAAACAUCUAAGUACCCCGAGGAAAAGAAAUCAACCGAGAUUCCCCCAGUAGCGGCGAGCGAACGGGGAGGAGCCCAGAGCCUGAAUCAGUGUGUGUGUUAGUGGAAGCGUCUGGAAAGGCGCGCGAUACAGGGUGACAGCCCCGUACACAAAAAUGCACAUAUUGUGAGCUCGAUGAGUAGGGCGGGACACGUGGUAUCCUGUCUGAAUAUGGGGGGACCAUCCUCCAAGGCUAAAUACUCCUGACUGACCGAUAGUGAACCAGUACCGUGAGGGAAAGGCGAAAAGAACCCCGGCGAGGGGAGUGAAAAAGAACCUGAAACCGUGUACGUACAAGCAGUGGGAGCACGCUUAGGCGUGUGACUGCGUACCUUUUGUAUAAUGGGUCAGCGACUUAUAUU